Pteropus vampyrus (large flying fox) is the source of this 119-nucleotide ribosomal RNA. The record is from Ensembl. NCBI's taxonomy places the organism in Eukaryota, Metazoa, Chordata, Mammalia, Chiroptera, Pteropodidae.
GUCUACAGCCGUGCUAUCCUGAACAAGCCCUAUCCCAUCUGAUCUCAGAAUCUAAGCAGGGUCAGGCCUGGUUAGUACUUGGAUGGGAGACCACCAAGAAAGACCAGGUGCUAUAGAUG